UUCAAGUAAUCCAGGAUAGGCUUGUGAUGUCCGGAAAGCCUAUUCGGGAUGACUUGGUUC
Carassius auratus (goldfish) is the source of this 60-nucleotide microRNA precursor. The record is from Ensembl. Lineage: Eukaryota; Metazoa; Chordata; Actinopteri; Cypriniformes; Cyprinidae.